Molecule: long non-coding RNA, 270 nt
Organism: Cebus imitator (Panamanian white-faced capuchin)
Lineage: Eukaryota; Metazoa; Chordata; Mammalia; Primates; Cebidae
Exons: 3
Source: RefSeq, a predicted model, not a curated record
UGAGCCCUCACUAUAUAAAGACAUGGCUGCUCACAAAUGCUCCACUGCGAAUUCCUCAGGAAUCUUGAAAUUGGUCGUAGAAUCUCCAUUUUACAGAUGCAACAAUAUUUUCCUCGCUUCCUGGAAAUGGCUCUGCUCUAGCCUCUCAACAUUAUCCAGGAGUAAAUGGGAGAAGAGCCUGGUAAAACACAAUGAACUGCAGCCAGGGUCACUACUGUUUUGAAGAGUAUGAUAAAAAAUCUCCCUGGCUGGGCACGGUGGCUCCCUCCU